Long non-coding RNA from Notolabrus celidotus (New Zealand spotty), 277 nucleotides. RefSeq lists it as uncharacterized. The transcript has 2 exons. Lineage: Eukaryota; Metazoa; Chordata; Actinopteri; Labriformes; Labridae. The record is from RefSeq and is a predicted model, not a curated record.
UCCAGCCCCUUAAUUAGCUGAACCAGAUAUAAAGCACCUGUGGCAACAUGGGUGCCUCUUUGUCUUGUCUGCCUGCUGGUUGCCACAUGCUCCUUGCACUGAGAAAUUCAGACAUUUGGUCCCAGACAAUACGAUCCACAUCCCAUACCAGUCCCAUCAUUUUCAGCUAGCUCCACAGCUAGUGAACCUCUUGCCUGAUCUUCAUGCACAUGCAAAAAUGUUUUUGAUCUCCACUCCACUCUCCAACAGCACGUCGAAUAAACUCAAGUCCCAAGUA